Molecule: ribosomal RNA, 161 nt
Filed under: Clostridium sp. DGTJ5
Lineage: Bacteria; Bacillati; Bacillota; Clostridia; Eubacteriales; Clostridiaceae
Description: partial 16S ribosomal RNA
Rfam family: Bacterial small subunit ribosomal RNA
Source: RNAcentral
UGCGCGUGAAUAUUGGCACAAUGGGCGAAAGCCUGAUGCAGCAACGCCGCGUGAGCGAUGAAGGCCUUCGGGUCGUAAAGCUCUGUCCUCAAGGAAGAUAAUGACGGUACUUGAGGAGGAAGCCCCGGCUAACUACGUGCCAGCAGCCGCGGUAAUAAAAA